GACGAACGCUGGCGGCGUGCUUAACACAUGCAAGUCGAACGGAAAGGCCCUGCUUUUGUGGGGUGCUCGAGUGGCGAACGGGUGAGUAACAAGUGAGUAACCUGCCCUUGACUUUGGGAUAACUACAGGAAACUGGGGCUAAUACCGGAUAGGAGCUCCUGCUGCAUGGUGGGGGUUGGAAAGUUUCGGCGGUUGGGGAUGGACUCGCGGCUUAUCAGCUUGUUGGUGGGUAGUGGCUUACCAAGGCUUUGACGGGUAGCCGGCCUGAGAGGGUGACCGGCCACAUUGGGACUGAGAUACGGCCCAGACUCCUACGGGAGGCAGUAGUGGGGAAUAUUGCACAAUGGGCGGAAGCCUGAUGCAGCAACGCCGCGGGCGGGAUGACGGCCUUCGGGUUGUAAACCGCUUUCGCCUGUGACGAAGAGUGAGUGACGGUAAUGGGUAAAGAAGCACCGGCUAACUACGUG
This 467-nucleotide ribosomal RNA is filed under the name uncultured bacterium. RNAcentral describes it as "partial 16S ribosomal RNA". It matches the Rfam family "Bacterial small subunit ribosomal RNA", at positions 28 to 507 of the family's 1533-position model. The record is from RNAcentral.